This 555-nucleotide ribosomal RNA is filed under the name uncultured beta proteobacterium. RNAcentral describes it as "bacterial SSU rRNA". It matches the Rfam family "Bacterial small subunit ribosomal RNA", at positions 97 to 649 of the family's 1533-position model. Lineage: Bacteria; Pseudomonadati; Pseudomonadota; Betaproteobacteria. The record is from RNAcentral.
GGCGAACGGGUGAGUACAACAUCGGAACGUAUCCUGGAGUGGGGGAUAACCUCGAGAAAUCGAGGCUAAUACCGCAUGAUCUCUGAGGAGCAAAGCGGGGGACUUUCGGGCCUCGCGCUGUUGGAGCGGCCGAUGCCGGAUUAGCUUGUUGGUGGGGUAAAGGCCUACCAAGGCGAUGAUCCGUGGCUGGUCUGAGAGGAUGAUCAGCCACACUGGAACUGAGACACGGUCCAGACUCCUACGGGAGGCAGCAGUGGGGAAUUUUGGGAAUGGGGGCAACCCUGAUCCAGCCAUGCCGCGUGCGGGAAGAAGGCCUUCGGGUUGUAAACCGCUUUCGUACGGAACGAAAUGGUGCGGGUUAAUACCCCGUACUGAUGACGGUACCGUAAGAAGAAGCACCGGCUAACUACGUGCCAGCAGCCGCGGUAAUACGUAGGGUGCGAGCGUUAAUCGGAAUUACUGGGCGUAAAGCGUGCGCAGGCGGCUCUUUAAGACAGGUGUGAAAUCCCCGGGCUUAACCUGGGAAUUGCGCUUGUGACUGGAGAGCUCGAGUGC